This is a small nuclear RNA of Cydia strobilella, 92 nucleotides long. NCBI's taxonomy places the organism in Eukaryota, Metazoa, Arthropoda, Insecta, Lepidoptera, Tortricidae. The record is from RefSeq and is a predicted model, not a curated record.
GUGUCUAUUGAAAGGAGAGACGGUUAGCACUCCCCUUGACAAGGAUGGAACACACAAAAUGGUUAAGGGCACAAUCUUGACCACAUUUUUUU